GAUGAACGCUGGCGGCGUGCCUAAUACAUGCAAGUCGAGCGGACGGACGAGAAGCUUGCUUCUCUGAUGUUAGCGGCGGACGGGUGAGUAACACGUGGAUAACCGACCUAUAAGACUGGGAUAACUUCGGGAAACCGGAGCUAAUACCGGAUAAUAUUUUGAACCGCAUGGUUCAAAAGUGCAAGCCGGUCUUGCUGUCACUUAUAGAUGGAUCCGCGCUGCAUUAGCUAGUUGGUAAGGUAACGGCUUACCAAGGCAACGAUGCAUAGCCGACCUGAGAGGGUGAUCGGCCACACUGGAACUGAGACACGGUCCAGACUCCUACGGGAGGCAGCAGUAGGGAAUCUUCCGCAAUGGGCGAAAGCCUGACGGAGCAACGCCGCGUGAGUGAUGAAGGUCUUCGGAUCGUAAAACUCUGUUAUUAGGGAAGAACAUAUGUGUAAGUAACUGUGCACAUCUUGACGGUACCUAAUCAGAAAGCCACGGCUAACUACGUG
This 497-nucleotide ribosomal RNA is filed under the name uncultured bacterium. RNAcentral's name for it is "partial 16S ribosomal RNA". It matches the Rfam family "Bacterial small subunit ribosomal RNA", at positions 28 to 507 of the family's 1533-position model. The record is from RNAcentral.